RNAcentral lists this ribosomal RNA (718 nucleotides) under uncultured bacterium. RNAcentral's name for it is "bacterial SSU rRNA". It matches the Rfam family "Bacterial small subunit ribosomal RNA", at positions 114 to 847 of the family's 1533-position model. The record is from RNAcentral.
CACGUGGGCAACCUGCCUCAUAGAGGGGAAUAGCCUUCCGAAAGGAAGAUUAAUACCGCAUAACAUUGUUGAAAGGCAUCUUUUAACAAUCAAAGGAGCAAUCCGCUAUGAGAUGGGCCCGCGGCGCAUUAGCUAGUUGGUGAGGUAACGGCUCACCAAGGCGACGAUGCGUAGCCGACCUGAGAGGGUGAUCGGCCACAUUGGAACUGAGACACGGUCCAGACUCCUACGGGAGGCAGCAGUGGGGAAUAUUGCACAAUGGGGGAAACCCUGAUGCAGCAACGCCGCGUGAGUGAUGAAGGUCUUCGGAUUGUAAAGCUCUGUCUUUAGGGACGAUAAUGACGGUACCUAAGGAGGAAGCCACGGCUAACUACGUGCCAGCAGCCGCGGUAAUACGUAGGUGGCAAGCGUUAUCCGGAUUUACUGGGCGUAAAGGGAGCGUAGGCGGAUAUUUAAGUGGGAUGUGAAAUACCCGAGCUUAACUUGGGAGCUGCAUUCCAAACUGGAUAUCUAGAGUGCAGGAGAGGAGAAUGGAAUUCCUAGUGUAGCGGUGAAAUGCGUAGAGAUUAGGAAGAACACCAGUGGCGAAGGCGAUUCUCUGGACUGUAACUGACGCUGAGGCUCGAAAAGCGUGGGGAGCAAACAGGAUUAAAUACCCUGGUAGUCCACGCCCGUAAAACGAUGAAUACUAGGUGUAGGGGCCCCAAGCCUCUGUGCC